AACGAACGCUGGCGGCAUGCCUAACACAUGCAAGUCGAACGAGACCUUCGGGUCUAGUGGCGCACGGGUGCGUAACGCGUGGGAACCUGCGUUUAGGUUCGGAAUAACUCCCCGAAAGGGGUGCUAAUAACGGAUAAUGUCUUCGGACCAAAGAUUUAUCGCCUUUGGAUGGGCCCGCGUUGGAUUAGCUAGUUGGUAGGGUAAAAGCCUACCAAGGCCACGAUCCAUAGCUGGUGUGAGAGGAUGAUCAGCCCGACUGGGAGUGAGACACGGCCCAGACUCCUGAGGGAAGCAGCAGUGGGGAAUAUUGGACAAUGGGCAAAAGCCUGAUCCGACAAUGCCGCGUGGGUGAUGAAGUCCUUAGGGUUGUAAAGCUCUUUUACCCGGGAUGAUAAUGACAGUACCAGGAGAAUAAGCUACGGCUAACUCCGUG
This 433-nucleotide ribosomal RNA is filed under the name uncultured bacterium. Its description in RNAcentral is "partial 16S ribosomal RNA". It matches the Rfam family "Bacterial small subunit ribosomal RNA", at positions 29 to 507 of the family's 1533-position model. The record is from RNAcentral.